Arachis ipaensis is the source of this 715-nucleotide non-coding RNA. The record is from RefSeq and is a predicted model, not a curated record. NCBI's taxonomy places the organism in Eukaryota, Viridiplantae, Streptophyta, Magnoliopsida, Fabales, Fabaceae.
AUGUAACUGAUCUCAUCUAGUGAUAGAACUAAGGCUCUAGUCAUCGGAGAACUAAGACUGUAGCAUUAGGAUUGGACUAGGAUAUACGCGACUGUCCCAACGCUAGAGAUGGAGUCAACAGUGACGUUCGUUGAUCGAUGAAGCUGCUUUCUGCGGUGAUCUAGACUUGGGAGUAUGUUCGACUGGUUGAGCUGUGUAUCCCUGUAUAUUCUACCUGACCGCCUUAUCUUUCUCUACUUUUUGUUCGUUCUUUAACCUAAAAACUCCUUACGAAACUCCGCUUUCUGAGUUUUGUUCUGAUGAUCCUUUCCAGCCAUCCAGCACUAGCCAUGAGUAUCCACAACCACAUGUGAUCAACGACAGAGCUCAGAAAUACGUUUUGCAUUUUGAAGAUACCGGACGUCUUGUGAUGUUUUAGAGAUUAGAGUGCUUUUCCGUCUCUUUUGUUAGUAUUUUUCUUUAGAGGUAGGACUUUAUUGUUUUUCUUGUUAGUUUGAGUACCAAACUAGGGGUUAUCUAAAUAGGCCAUGACUAAUAUAUGUAUAUGUCGACUAUGUACUACUUAACUGGGAUAAUUGUAUCUGGGUUGGUAUGACUGUUGUAGUGUCUCUUCUAACGUUUAUAUGAAAGCCCUCACGGCAUUGUGGGAUACAUCUGUUUACACACGCACAAAAAAAGUAUCAAAUGAAUCUUUGAAAAGUUGCAACAUUGAACA